UCCCUGGUGGUCCAGUGGUUAAGAUUCCACACUUGCAGUGCAGGGGGCCCAGGUUUGAUCCCUGGUUGGGGAA
Molecule: transfer RNA, 73 nt
Filed under: Ovis aries (sheep)
Lineage: Eukaryota; Metazoa; Chordata; Mammalia; Artiodactyla; Bovidae
Rfam family: tRNA
About the family: Transfer RNA (tRNA) molecules are approximately 80 nucleotides in length. Their secondary structure includes four short double-helical elements and three loops (D, anti-codon, and T loops). Further hydrogen bonds mediate the characteristic L-shaped molecular structure. tRNAs have two regions of fundamental functional importance: the anti-codon, which is responsible for specific mRNA codon recognition, and the 3' end, to which the tRNAs corresponding amino acid is attached (by aminoacyl-tRNA synthetases). tRNAs cope with the degeneracy of the genetic code in two manners: having more than one tRNA (with a specific anti-codon) for a particular amino acid; and 'wobble' base-pairing, i.e. permitting non-standard base-pairing at the 3rd anti-codon position.
Source: Rfam by way of RNAcentral